RNAcentral lists this long non-coding RNA (1747 nucleotides) under Daphnia magna. RNAcentral describes it as "uncharacterized LOC116936449". Lineage: Eukaryota; Metazoa; Arthropoda; Branchiopoda; Diplostraca; Daphniidae. The record is from RNAcentral.
UUUACACUUCAAAUUUACAAUCACAUAAAUUUGCUUAAAAAUCGUCACCUGUGUGAACGAACAGAAUAAAUCAUUGAUAAAUAAAACAAGAUCCCCAUUUACAAAUUACAAAAGAUUGCUUAACUACGCCUCAGGCUCUCAGGAGGCUCAGUCCUGCAAGAAUGUUUCUGUUUAUUUCCGAGUAGUCUGGAAUUUUAAUGGCGGCUUACGAAUUCAAAUGGCCAAAAGUAAUUUCAGUACAAAGAAGUUGACCAUUAGACUCUUAAGAAGCGAUAUACAUUAGGAUUGGAGGAUUGACUUGUUGUCAAGCAUGUACGUAUGUACAUGGGAUUUUUGCAUGUGGCUUUCAAGGUUUUCUGGCACGUGUUGUGCUGAAACGAAAAUUCUAUUUAGUUCACCACACUGACUCCUAGUUCUCUUCCACGGCAUGAUUGUGACUACGGCCAUUGUGCAAUCAUUCUUGCGUUACAGGUGGUAAAGACCGUUCGAAAUCGCAGUCAAUUCUUUUGUAAUAAAUUUCUAUUCGAAUGAUGAAACAAGUGGAAUGAGGAAUAAUGGACGACUGAUGAAAUGAAAAUGCUUUAUCGCAGCACUCAGCUACUUCAGUUGUACGUUCAUAACUGCUCUGAUUAAUUGAAGAAUAUGGAGGACUUUGCAUUGUAUAACUCCAGAAUGUUUAAACUCCGGGUUUUCUGGGAAGCUAGUAAUCGCAGUUGUAUUUGCUAUCUUACGAUCGACAUUGGCUAGUCUACAUGAUCGAAGACUUGAACCGGUUGGCAAUGAUGUGAUCCUUGUCAUGCAGACGUCAUUUUUAUUCUUCUAAGAUCAAUGAUAAUGAUUCUCAACUCUACCCGUUGUCUAUGCAUCCAAAAACAGAGACGAAUGUGUUUUGUGGACUUGUUUGGAGGAAGCAAGAAAGAAGUUAUGUUGGAACGCUCUGCUUGGCUAUCAAAACACAUUUUUUUUUAAGGGCGUUAACUUCACCUCGAUUUCGAAUUUGGAGUGGCUCACUAUUCCAGUUCUUGAUCAAAUUCAGCGUUUCCAUUUCGGUUGUUUUCCGUGUAAGCGAAACAAUGGUUUGUUCGUAAUUUAUCCAUUUCAAUUGGUGUCGACGAAACCGCAGAAGACUCAUUAUUGUGUGCUUUUUUUACAUAAUAAUUAAGGGCAGUGAGAGACAUUAUCAUAGAUUGUUAUUCUUCUCCACAGAAGAAUGAAUGCAGAUUUCAAGUUUUAGAAUAAAUUGCGAUUUCUCCUGCAUCUCCGUGAAACAAACAGAAAUCUAAAAGAAAAACAAGUGCUUUUAUUGUCCAAUUGUUCCUGGAAAACAAGGAUUCAAAAGGGGAUAAUGAUGAAAACACAAUACCUUGACGACUGUAAAGUUCAAAUGAAGACGAGACGUUGAUGGGAACAAAAAAAUCAUAAUAAAGGGACAAAGACGAUUUAAUAAUAAAAAAUAGGAAAAAAAACAAAAAAAUAAGACUGACGGCAAAAAUCGGGUGGAAGCGUAAACAUCCACAUUCGCAUCAACAGCUUUCAAAUGCCCGGGAUGGAAAUGUACAUAACGUUCGGCUAAAAAACCAAACUAAGCAAAAUAAAUUGACGAGCAAAAUUGAAAAGAAAGCGAAAACAUAAUCAAAUAAUCUCCCAGCCAAUACUGAUUACUUUGUAUGCACUCUUUUCGUUUCUUAAAAUCCCAACCAGAUAAAAAUAAAAUGUGAUUGUGUGUUGCGGAUUACACAAUAUCAAA